Molecule: RNA transcript, 3912 nt
Organism: Limulus polyphemus (Atlantic horseshoe crab)
Lineage: Eukaryota; Metazoa; Arthropoda; Merostomata; Xiphosura; Limulidae
Gene name: CUGBP Elav-like family member 4
Exons: 14
Source: RefSeq, a predicted model, not a curated record
ACGGAGUAUUGGACACGGGCGCUCAUCAUAAAGGCCCCCAAAUUUAUAACGACUCAUCAAUGAUUACUAAAGAUCAUGAUGCUAUUAAAUUAUUCAUUGGACAGAUUCCUCGAAAUCUUGACGAGAAAGAUCUUAGACCAUUGUUCGAGCAGUUUGGAAAGAUCUAUGAGUUGACUGUGUUAAAAGACAAAUAUACAGGCAUGCACAAAGGUUGCGCCUUUCUGACUUACUGUGCUCGGGAAAGUGCUGUCAAGGCUCAGAACGCCCUCCACGAACAGAGAACCUUACCAGGGAUGAACCGUCCAAUCCAAGUAAAGCCUGCCGAUAGUGAAAACAGAGGAGAGGACCGUAAGCUGUUUGUGGGUAUGCUUAGUAAACAACAAACAGAAGAAGAUGUUCGUCAGUUAUUUCAGCCUUAUGGAACGAUAGAAGAAUGUACAAUUUUACGUGGACCUGAUGGCCAAAGUAAAGGAUGUGCAUUUGUGAAGUUUGGCUCUCAUGUGGAAGCACAAACUGCCAUCAAUGCUCUUCACGGAAGCCAAACUAUGCCAGGUGCAUCAUCCAGUUUGGUUGUAAAGUUUGCAGAUACAGAAAAAGAAAGACAGUUAAGAAGAAUGCAGCAAAUGGCUGGAAAUAUGGGCUUGCUUAAUCCUUUCGUAUUCAACCACUUUGGUGCUUAUGGUGCUUAUGCCCAGUUCAUGCAGCAGCAAGCAGCAUUGAUGGCUGCUGCAGCUCAGGGUGGGUACCUGAAUCCCAUGGUGACAAUGGCAGCCACACAGCUUCCACAGGUCGGUACUGUCCAUAAUGGCCUUGCCAGUCCCGCCAUCACGCCCACGUCAGGUGAGAUCAGCAUUACCUGCAUGACAAGUAAUGGGACUCAACCAAUAAAUGGUGCUAUCCCUAACAUGCCUUCCCCUACCAUGCCGAAUUUCACCAUUCAUCAAAAUGGCCAACCAGGAGAAGUAUAUGCUAAUGGCAUACCUCAUUGUCCACCCCAAGCGAUACCCAAUGGCGAUGCUCUCCAACCUGCCGCAUAUCCAAGUCUGCAGCCGUAUCCAGGCAUCCCUGCUUACCCAGCAGGAUAUGGCCAGUUUGCACAGGCUCUGACACAGCAACCGACCAUUGUUCAGCAAACACAAAGAGAAGGACCAGAAGGCUGUAAUCUGUUUAUUUACCACUUACCACAAGAAUUUGGUGAUGCUGAGCUUAUCCAGAUGUUCUUGCCAUUUGGUAAUGUGAUCAGUGCCAAGGUGUUCAUUGACCGUGCCACUAAUCAGAGUAAAUGUUUUGGAUUUGUGAGUUUUGACAACCCCACCAGUGCCCAGGCGGCCAUCCAAGCCAUGAAUGGCUUUCAGAUUGGAAUGAAACGUCUUAAGGUCCAGUUGAAGCGACCCAAGGAUGCCAACAGGCCAUAUUAAACCCAGGGCCAACUUUUUAAAUUCAAGUUGCCAUGGGUACCAACAAGCUGCAAAAGCUAUCUCCAGCUAGCGAAUGGUGUAGGCCAGAUACCUUGAAUGCCAAGAUUUUGGAGAAGAGGCAGUUUUUAUGGUGACUGAAGUUUAAGUGAUCUUCAUAUAUUUUUUCUUCACAUUGCUGGUAAAUGGACAAACCCCAUCUUGAGAAUCAGAAGAAUAGACAAAAAAACCUUCCAAGUCUUAGGCCACAGUGCAGGUGGUCCUAUUUAUUCAUAUUUUCCCCAGUGUUUAUGUAGCAAGCAAGUAUCCAACUGUCAGGAUAUAGAACUAGCUGCACUCUCCCUCACCUUUUAUUUAUCUUCGUCAUUUUUAAACAAUAUUCUGUACUUUUACAGUUUUAAAGUUAUUUAUUACUUAUUCAGAAAGGUUAGUAAUGAUCAUAUGAGUUUCAGACAAAAUUAUGUGCUAGAAGAAAAAAAAAAUUAAUCUUGCAAGUUGACUGGUUUUACUUCAUAUCAAAGUGGCAGGUCAAAUCUGCCCAGAACGUCAAAGAACGUCACUCCACGAUGUGUAGAUGCUAGGAUGGUGAAGACCUUCCUGACUUGCAUCAAUACAAUGAAGAGCUAGUGUUUACAUCAGUAGAAGCUAUCAAUAAAGUGGAUAGUUACUGUUUAACAAAUAUGAAUGUACUGUCACCUGGAACCCACCAGGUUAUUUGUUUCUGCUGUUCUGUAACCACAAAUUUGAACAACCAAGGUUACUUUAAUAGCCACUGCUUUCAAGAUAACAGAGGUCAGUGACUGUAUUACUUACUGACUACAAACAAUUGUCAUGAUUUUUUAAAAUGUCAAGUUAUUCUUAGAAUUAUUAUUCAAUCGUAGUAUUAGGAAAUUCACUUUUGAAGUCUACUUAAAAAUUGACACUGUGUACUGAAGAAUUAUAUUUUUCUUGAUCAAAUGCUUAUCAACUAGAUAUUAUAGAACAGUAAUGGUAACCUGAAUUCAUGCUCUUCUUUUUCUUUUUCAAAAGAAUAUUAGAAUAUAUAUAUAUUAAGUUUUCCAUCUAAUCAACAGAGUUUUAUAAACUAGGAGAAAUAUAAUAAUGUAGCAAAUAGUAGUUCUCCUUACUGAGUGUGUUUACAUACGUUAUGGAGAUAAGGUGCAUCUUGACUAAAAGAUUCAGAAGUGUGAGCAGCUGAUUGCUUGUAUUAAUAGCUUUAUUUAUUGAAAGAGUUCUUGUUUUUGUGACUAGUCAAACUUGAGCAAUGCUAGUCAGGUAAGUAAUUUAGUAGGACAUUUAUUUAAUUUUGUCCAUUAUUUCUUACCUAACUCUUUUAUUAAAAAAAGAAAAAGCUUCUGUUAGGAGGUUAUUUUUUUCAUAUUAUCUUGCCAAAUCACCAUUUUCUUUUUAAGUUCUACAUGUAUGUUACAAAAGGCAAGCGUAUGUACAGUCAUGUAAUGAAUGACAUGUCAUGUUGGAGUUAUUUUAUAUCGUAAUUCAGAAUGUCAGUAGGCUCAGGUAACUAGUUGUUAUUAAUAUAAGAACAUGUAUAAAUACUGUUUGAAAGUUAUCCACAACAGACUGUUGGUUAUAGGUGCACAAUUGUCUUUACAGAGAACAGGAAACGAAAUUGAUUAUUGUAAAAGAAGGUUUUAGCUGAGAGAAGUUUAAUCUUUCAUACAAAGUCAAGCUGGUUUUUAUUAUGAUAUCAGUGUCACAGUCAUGCUGACUUAUCUUUUACCUCUUAAUCAUAGUAAAUAGAUUCAGGUAAGGGAAGAAGAAGUGUUUGUUCAAUAAACUCAUUUUAUAAGAAAUGCUGUUUAUUUUUAUUGGCACCUUGGGAGACUUUAACUAUGCUUAAACUUAUUCUUUGGAUAACUAGUUCUGUCUCUUUACAUUCCAGUGUUGAUUACAAGAGAGAGUUACUUUUACUUCAUUCCAGGUCUUUUGAAAUGCUUGAUAGAGUAGGCUUUUUUUAUCGACAAAUUAGCUAACAAAAAUAAAGCUUUCAAUAGUUACUUAACAUUCUGCUUUUGGUUUUCUGGUAUUAUAACAUUGAAAAUCUAAAGUAGCUUAUGUAUCUAUACUGCUAAGUCUGAUAAGAUACUAUAAAGUGGCAUAGUGUGCCACAACUGUUCAUUCAAAACUGGUUAUAUAAAAAAGAACUGAUACUAAAAACUGAAAAUAUGGAAGUAAGUUAUUAAUUUUAUUUUAAGAUAUCUUUAUGAUAGCUAAUGAAAGGUCAGUAGUUAGAGAAGAUGGUGUGUCAUCCAGGGAAAUUAGAGAAAUAUUUAAAACUAUAGAAGAUGGGAUCCCUAAAUGUAUAAUAAGACUUGUAAGAGCAGUAGAAACCUUAUCAUAGUCAUGAGAAACUAUUUUAAAAGUCUGUCAUUAGGUCUCCUUGCCAUAGCUGUUAGAUGCUAAAAUGUUUAUGGAAGGUAGUCUGUCAUGUGUAUCUUUAUUGUGGCUGUGAAACUAAAAAAAAAACUGUGGGAAG